GGACGAACGCUGGCGGCGUGCCUAAUACAUGCAAGUCGAACGGUCUUUCUAUGGAAGCUUGCUCCACUGAGAAGAUAGUGGCGAACGGGUGAGUAACACGUGGGUAACCUGCCCAUAAGAGGGGGGAUAACAUCCGGAAACGGGUGCUAAUACCGCAUAGUUUUCUUGAUUGCAUGAUUGAGAAAGGAAAGACGGCCUUUGUGCUGUCGCUUAUGGAUGGACCCGCGGCGUAUUAGUUAGUUGGUGAGGUAACGGCUCACCAAGGCGAUGAUACGUAGCCGACCUGAGAGGGUGAUCGGCCACAUUGGGACUGAGACACGGCCCAAACUCCUACGGGAGGCAGCAGUAGGGAAUCUUCCGCAAUGGACGAAAGUCUGACGGAGCAACGCCGCGUGAGUGAAAGAAGGUUUUUCGGAUCGUAAAACUCUGUUGUCAGAGAAGAACAAGUUGGAGAGUAACUGCUCCAGCCUUGACGGUAUCUGACCAGAAAGCCACGGCUAACUACGUGCCAGCCGCCGC
RNAcentral lists this ribosomal RNA (519 nucleotides) under uncultured bacterium. RNAcentral describes it as "bacterial SSU rRNA". It matches the Rfam family "Bacterial small subunit ribosomal RNA", at positions 27 to 518 of the family's 1533-position model. The record is from RNAcentral.